GUGUAUUCGACUUUCUCCCCUCCUGCCCAUGAUGGAUUUUAAAUGUGCUGCAGCAAUCCUUUGGCUAUGCUACCCGUGGUUUUCACACAAAGUGCUAUUUUAACGUCUCCAACGCUCUUGACGGUAAUUUCCUGACAUUCCUGUAGACCAUUAUUAGAAGAUGUGAACCAAAGCACUGGUAGCAAUGAUGGAAUCAGGGUCCAUUGGAUUUGAUGACUGCAAGAUGUGGGUCAGCCGAACCUCAAGACAAGAGAGACUCGGGUUUCUGGCAAGGAUGUUGGACGCUGGAGGCUUACGGAAGUGGGGGCAGGAGGAGAAAUGACUGGGGGAGACGCGGGUCACGCUGGGAGUGGCUGCUGUGGUCCUAGUCAAGAGGACAAGUUUGAAAUGACAGAGAUUCAGAUCCCGAGUCCAUCACUCAGGACCUGCAUGGAAUUAGCCCGUGGUUUCCCACCUUGAUUCUUCCUUCCCUUAUCUGAACGGGAUGAACGUGCGUCCCUCGUAGAGGUGGGUGAGCCAAGCAGGGCUCUGCACCUGCCAUUAAGCUGCAGCACCACGUAGGGCAGCUGUGCAAUGCCACUGGAACUAAGAGAGGCCAUUAAAUCACCAGGCGUUUUACUACGGACGCGUUUUCCAGAUGUGGAGAAGCAAGCGCACGCUGGGAGAAUGGAUUGUUUUAGGGUUUGGACUACGAUUUCCUGCCGAGGUAGAAACCCUGCCUCUCUUACUGGUUCAUCUACUGCAGAUCAACAAGUUGUUUGGAAAUAUGUGACCACGCAUGCCUCGCUGUUUUAAAGGGGACUUUUAUUAAAGACAAACAAACAACAAAACAAACAAAAAAGAAACGAAGACCAUCCUCUCUCCCUCGACCGUGUUGUGGGGCUUAAGGUGAGGCAGAACAUCCUGGCGGAAGAAUGUGGCAGAGGGGAGCAGCUUGCACGAUGUUCAGAAGAACAUGAGAGAGAUGCCACUCGCCAGGAUGACAGUUUUGAUCUCUUUAAUGACUGUGUCAUGACUUACAGACUUAUAAAAUGCUUUUGUGGGUACCACACCCAUUCCCCAAAGACCACCCUCUCUGCAUUUCUCUCCUCCGGCACUAAAGAUAUUAAAUUGCGUGCAAGGAUGAUACCUUCUGAAAACACCUUCUGAGAGGUCAGAGGGUUCCUGGAACGGUCGUUGUACCUCUUCAAAAAAGGUGCUGCUGUGGGGAUGCAGGGCAGAGUUGGGAGCUUUCUGGGCCUUGCAGCAGUUUCAGGAUCUAUGUGUAGGACACACCCGCGGGAGGGAGCUGCCCUGGUCUCUACACUUACCACCAUUGAUGUCAGGCGCUGAGAGAGGAGUUCACAGUAGGAGCGGGGAAGGGGUGCUUGCUGGGCACCCUGAUGAUCAAGAUGGCCCUGCUUUAAGCACACGACUCCAACUCUUCUCUGUCCACUCUUUUUUAACCCAAGGGAGCAUUUCCCCUCCUACAUGCCUACGCCUCACUCUUCUGCAUACACCACAAGCUUCAGAGGAUGCUGGAAGAAUGUCAAUGAAUUCAGGAUUCACAAAGAACAUGGGGCUGUGUAAAUGAACAAUUUUUAUCUGGACUCUUCCAGCGACCUGGAAGAUCUCUUGCAGAGAGGUCUCGCGGUGCGUCUGAGCAUCAGGAGUUACAACAUUCCACACAAUGAAUUCUCUUUUUCUUCCCUAAGCCCUUUCCAAACCUUCAGUCCUUUGACCUGAAAAAGGGAACACAGUGUUCCCGUGUUCCCAUUUGAUUCUUCUCUUUUUUUCCUUUGCUAAGAGUGUUUCUUGAGGUUGAUGUGAAAAUGGCUAAAGUAGACUUGGUUCAUUGCACUUCCCGGCCCAUGUCAGAUGCCCGAGGAGGGCUUGUGGGUGUGAACCGGUGCUUCCUAUUUAGCAAUCUCCCCAUUUCUUUCUACUUUCUUUUUUUCCUGGAGACGAAUUACCUCUCCUGACAGACUGAUGACCUCUUGACGGGACUCUACUGCGAGACAAUCCAACCGGGUUCCUCCGGGUCUCAGAGGAGGAAAUGCUUUGCCACCACCCAGCUAGUGUGGCUCCCCUGUCACCCACCUGUCCUGGUAUUGUCAGGCCCUCUCAAAAGAUUUCGAGCCGAGUUUUCUGUGAGCCCAGAGCCUCGGCCUCGGUGGAAAUCCGAGGGCGGCUGGUGUGGAGCGCGACGUUACAGAAGCUAAACGCUUUUGAGACAAUCCAAGUCAGGCUUGCAGAACAGCCAAGACAGGCAGCAAGGAACAAAAAAGGAGCCGGUGGCUUCCUCUCAGCGUUUGGAAGGAGUGGUAAUUAUCCAACCUCCCCGUCCUGUCCCUCUCAACCACAGCUAAACAAGGCUGGGCACUUCACACUAGAAGCCAACCCCCGACUGGAGUCUUCUAACCCGGUUCAAAAGUUUCCUUUCAACCUGGACCAUUCAAUUCCGUCUUUCUUCCUUCCCUUUUAUCCCUGGAACUGUAGCAGGGCUCUCUGGAGGAGCGAGGAAAUCAAUGCCUCACCUGCCUGCGCACCGGACUCGGCUAGCCUGGCCUGAAAGGGGGGCGCGCACUUCCUCGGCACCCCCACUGGCUGCCGCUCACCUUUACUGCUCUCCCGAAAACAGGCCACGGUUCUGCAGCCCAGGGGAGCCUGGAGCCCCGGGACGGAAGAACUUUCCCAAGGGCCUUGGGGGCUCCGGCCCAUGGCGGAAGGUGAGGCCGCCUGGGUUCUCUGCGGGGCCGGCCACUUCAACGCCGCCUCUUGGCCUCCUGAUGGACGACGAACACGUCCCAGAGUUGCAGGCAACGGCUGGCUGUCCUGUCCUUUAGGCCAGUGGCCCCUCUUAGAAACAGUAUUAUCCAGCGGGUAAGGAUGCUGAAUCCAGCAGCCUGGCUUCCAUCCACGCCCUGGCAUUCUUGAGCCACAUGAUUGCCCACCAAUAAUUCGACUUCAGGAAGCCUCGGUUUUCUCAUCUGUAAAAGGGCGCGAUCAUAUUAGUCCUUGUUUCCCAGGUUCCUGGUAAUGAUGGAGCACUUACAGAGCCCAGCCUGAGAGGGGUGGGAUCCACGCCAUCGGACGCAGCAGGAUGGGCCGGAUAGAUUGGGUCUGGUAUCCUGGAGAACAGGAAGAAUAAAAACCCCUUGAGUCCCUUUUGCUGAUGUCUGAUUGGGAGGUCACAUGCCUUGCUACUCUGGUUUUGUUUUUCCAUCCACCAUUUAAGUUUAAAAAUAAAUACAUACAUGAAUAAAAAAGGCAGUGAAACUUUUUCUUAAAGAGAGAUCCUCACAGCCUUCUGUUUCUGUUUUUCUGCUGAACUGGGAAUUAAAGCCAGAGGUGCUCUGCGACCGAACUAUCUCCCCAGCCCUUUUUAUUUUGAGGCGGGGGUCUUACGAAGUUGCCAGGCUGACCUCAAACUUGCCGUCCUCCUGCCCCGGCCUCCUGAGUACCUGGGAUUCCAGGCUAUGCACCCUGGUGCCGGCUCCUACAGCCCUUUUAAGCCUCCCUGUCCGGCACAAAGCUCUUGACCACAAAUUGAGCUGCAGGUGACCGACAGCUUGCACCUGCCCCAUCCCUUCUCCUCCCUCGACAGCAACAGCGUAUCCAGCAGCGAAUUCCCUCCCUGCACACCUCACCUCUACUCCAGAAGCAACUUAAUUGCCAUUAAUCACCAGCUCCAGCGGCUGGGCUAGAGAAGGAACCCCUCUACCUGCCUCUGGGGCUCUGAGGUUCAGCCCUCCCUGCCACUCACCCCUUGGGCCGACAGGCUGUUUGUUGGGCUAAGGAAGAUGAUACUAGAGGACUCAAUCAAGGAGGGGAAUCACACCCAGUGCGGCUUGACCCUUUCUCUGCCUCCAUAACA
Long non-coding RNA from Marmota monax (woodchuck), 3856 nucleotides. RefSeq lists it as uncharacterized. Lineage: Eukaryota; Metazoa; Chordata; Mammalia; Rodentia; Sciuridae. The record is from RefSeq and is a predicted model, not a curated record. The transcript has 5 exons.